This 2025-nucleotide long non-coding RNA is filed under the name Durio zibethinus. Its description in RNAcentral is "long non-coding RNA (DZIB_LNC001882)". Lineage: Eukaryota; Viridiplantae; Streptophyta; Magnoliopsida; Malvales; Malvaceae. The record is from RNAcentral.
AAAGUUAUUUUUUUAUUAUUUCUGUUUUAUUAAAUUUUCUAAGGAGGGUCCAAUCAUAAAAAGCGGGGAACCACGCUCCUAAAAGUAGCCUUAGUUGCAAGACCGGUUUCGUUAAUUGACCUUUGAUCAAUCAGAAUAGAGACAAAACAAAGUCAAGUUAGGGGAUGAAGCAAAUAGUAGAUUGCCUACUCAAUAGAUAACGACAUUAAUAAAAAAAAAAAAACAAAACAAAUAGCGGCCAUACAGAACUCAGGUUCUUGGUUACCCAAUCAAAAUGGAAGCCAUAGCCUUUUAGCAAUUUUUUUCGCACGCAAUCCAUUACUAAAACUUGCGAAUUUCUUUUCUUCUUUUCUUUUGGGUUUUGUGAAUUGUUGAUGGUUUUCUUUGGUACGAGCUCGUUAGGUAAGGAUCUGGAAAUUGUGUUUGGGAUGAUUUAUACUUACAGUAAGCAAUUACAAUUACGGAGUAUCUAAUUUAAUAUUUUGAAACGGCUUUUAAUAUUUAAGUCAGCCAAAUGUUUAUAAUUUGUCUUAGAAGGUGAAUUGCUGUGAGAACGUUCAAGAAGCUUAGAGAAUGAUGGUUUUAAUUAUCGUGUUUGGAUUUUUUUUAUUUUCUAUAUGAAAUAAGGGAUAAUGAUAUGAUCAUGAUUAUUGAUAAUUAAUAAUAGAUUUAUAUGAAGCUUAAAAAAAAUUAUAUGAAUGAAUGUGAGUUAUAUUUAAUAACUUUAAAAUACUGUGAAUCAUAUUUAAUAAUUUUAAAUAAAUUAAAAAUUAAUUAAUUUAUUAUGAGAUGAUAAUUUAAAGAGACAAAGUAAUGAUAAUUAAACGAAUCUAUUCACAUAUAAAAAAUUAUGAGAAGAACGCAUUUUGUGAUGAAAAAUCUUGAAAAUGUGAGAGGAGCCCGUUUUAUAACAAGAAGAGGGUGGAUGACAAAUUUUUUUUUUUAUAACAACAUGAUAAUCAUAUAUGUGUUGUUUUGACAAUUAUAAAUACCUUAUUGAUUGACGAGUGGCGAGUGUCUUAGCAACACGAAAACCAUUUUUCUUCCUAUGCCCAAAGUGGAAAACCACGAGACGUUGCCAGUUGUGAUGACCGCAAUGGCUUCUUCAAGUCUACUUCUUAUGACAUUAAUGGUUUCCUUCUAGCUUCCAUUAAUAUUCUUUGGUUUCUACCUACCACAACUCCUGCCUCCGUGAGCUACAAUUUUAUUAAAAAAUUAAAAAAAAUCCUUCUGAAAUUUGACAUGUGAAUUGGCUAUAACUCCUCUAAGGCCAAACAGUAAUGAAAAAAUUGAGUGAUGCAUUAAAUCCCAUUAAGCUUUGUCUGGUGUUUGCUUGUCAGCGUCACUUCAGCUAAUCAUCUAGUUUGGGGAUCGCCAACUAAUUCGGUCGACCAUAGUCCAUCGUCCAUACUAUGCGCUUUUUAAUUGUGGAUGUGGGGCUACCCUUGUUCUCCCUCUGGCGAUGGGGAUGGGAAUCUUUUGUCAUUUCGCACACCACAUCCGUGUCCAAAAGUUGGCAUCUGUAUCCUUUCCCAAUUGGCUUUGUCCACCGCACAUUCCUUGAUUGCAACAAUUCUCUACUGAGAGAACCAAAUUCCAAUUCUAAAUGCAAAUAUUUUGGCAAUUGGCCCCUACAUAGCACCCUCACCCCCCCCCCCCCCCAACCCGCCUCUCUCUCUUUCCGUGACCAUGUCCCUUCUUCCACCCGAUUUUGAGAAAAAAGAGAUUUUAAAGCUUCUUUCAAUCAAGUUUGUAAGCUUUUCUUUUUUUAAAUAAUCAAAUAAAAAUUAAAUUUAAAACACAAAUUUCAUAAGUUAAUAGAGUUUAACUAUAAAAAUUAGUAAUAUAUAAAAAAUUAUGUAAAAAUUGAAUCUACAUGUCUACCUAUCUAUAAAAUUUAAUUAAUAGUUAUUGAAUAUUUAUGAAAAAAUACAUAUCAUUUAUAAUUGUUAUAAUGGUUUUAAAAUCGUAUGAAGAAUUUUAAAAUGAAAUUAAAAAAAUAAAAAAAGUAGAGUUGUUACCAAU